AUGCGGAGACCGGCGGCGGCCCGGGGCGUAGGGCGCCGUUCCCCUCCUCACCCUGCCUGCGGCGGCGUACGGCUCGCCGCCCGCCCGCCCACCUCGAGGCGCCGACAGAGAUUCGCAGCUCGGCGCCAUCGCCCUCCGCCUGUCCGCAGCCCCGUACGGAGCGCUCGGCUGGCCGCUCUCCGUCGCCCCGGAAGCCCUGAGUGCCGGGCCCCAAGUGGCCCGCGAGGCCGGUGCCCAGGUGCCUCCCCGACUCCGCCGAGCCGAGCGGCGGCCGAUCCCCCUGAGAGCCGGGUUGCGGCUGCCUCCCCGGCCAUCUUGUGCGGUGUGUGCGAGAGAGCGUCUGUCUCUCCUGUCUUCCCUCAACUCCUUCCUCCCCUCCCCCCGCACAACAUGGCCGCCGGAGUCAGUACUCACUGCGGCGGGGAAGGGGCUGGGCCUGCGCUUCUACCCCCUGCCUACCGCUCAUUCCUCCCCCCCACCCUUCCUGCCUUCUGCGCGUGCGCCAACCACUGCUCUCCGCUGGCCCCGAUGCUCCCGGCCCAGCGCGCGCCGCUACCAUUGGCUGCGCCCCUCCCUCCUUCCUCCUCCCAUCCCGGGCCCGCGCGCAACUCAGCCGCCGCUUCCUAUUGGCCGCCGCUUCUCACCGGUCUUUCCACCCUACCCGCCCCACCGCAACCUCAACGGUCGCAGCCCAGUAUGGUGAGCGCGAGCCGCGUCUGCCGCUCCCUAUUGGCUCCGCUCCUUCUCUCCCUCCUCCUCCUCCUCCUCCCCCCCCGUCGCCCGCGGCCUCGCGCGAGUCCUGUGCCCUGCUUCGAAUCCAUACAUAGGCUCUGCUGGGGGGGGGGGGGGGAGGGGGAAGCAUGUGAGCCGUUGCGGUGCUUCCACAGCCUGGGAAAUGUCCCAAAAUCUGGGCAUUUUUGAGUGAAAUGCUUCAAAUUGGGAAUUGUCGUUCGAAACCUAAAUAAUCCAUGGGAACAGUUCACAAAACGCAAAAGACUUUCCCAACCUCAAAAAUCCUGGGAAGUUGUCUUAAAAAGUAAUAAGUAAAAUAUUUGUGCUUCUUUUAAAUUUCCCUCAAAAGGUGUUCAGUUGGGCUGGUGGAUAUUGGUCAUGUGAUUUUCAUAAGCGGGCUGUGCUGCUCUCCUAUUGGUGGGGCUGCAACGUACUGGCUCGUGAGGGCACAAGUGAGGUGACAAGUGUGCACACAUGUACUCACAACAAACCAGCCUCAGCAACAGCCGGCUGGCGGCUAAUGGGGGGAUGGUUAUCAAAUGUAUCUUCUAGUUGCACAGAGAAUGUGGACCAGAGCGUUCGGCUGUUCCUAAACUUGUAACAGCACCUUCCUCCCGGCAAAUAUUAAAUAUCUUCGCCGACUGUGUUAGAUAUUUCUUUCCAUUUUUUAUCUACAUAAGAAAUAAAUAAAGAGACAGGUAAGGCUGGUGAGAAGAUGAAGGACUGCAGGAGUAGACAAAGAUCCGUCCACGUCAAAAUGAAAACAACGGGAUAGCACCUCCGACAGAGUAUUGAAGACUCGGGGUGAACUGCCACCAAAAGAGAAGCCAUCUACUUU
Molecule: RNA transcript, 1570 nt
Organism: Dermochelys coriacea (leatherback sea turtle)
Lineage: Eukaryota; Metazoa; Chordata; Testudines; Dermochelyidae
Gene name: serine/arginine-rich splicing factor SR45-like
Exons: 3
Source: RefSeq, a predicted model, not a curated record